GCCAGCAGCCAUAUCACCCUGCAUCUCACAAAUGGCAACCCACAGAAGCUAGGUAGGCAUGAGCCUGGUCAGUACCUGGAUGAGAGACCUCUUGGGAAAACCAAGGUUGCUGCUGGAA
This 118-nucleotide ribosomal RNA is filed under the name Lepisosteus oculatus (spotted gar). The record is from RNAcentral. Lineage: Eukaryota; Metazoa; Chordata; Actinopteri; Semionotiformes; Lepisosteidae.